This 497-nucleotide ribosomal RNA is filed under the name uncultured bacterium. RNAcentral describes it as "partial 16S ribosomal RNA". It matches the Rfam family "Bacterial small subunit ribosomal RNA", at positions 28 to 507 of the family's 1533-position model. The record is from RNAcentral.
GAUGAACGCUGGCGGCGUGCCUAAUACAUGCAAGUCGAGCGAACAGAUAAGGAGCUUGCUCCUUUGACGUUAGCGGCGGACGGGUGAGUAACACGUGGGUAACCUACCUAUAAGACUGGGAUAACUUCGGGAAACCGGAGCUAAUACCGGAUAACAUUUGGAACCGCAUGGUUCUAAAGUGAAAGAUGGUUUUGCUAUAACUAAUAGUUGGACCCGCGCCGUAUUAGCUAGUUGGUAAGGUAACGGCUUACCAAGGCAACGAUACGUAGCCGACCUGAGAGGGUGAUCGGCCACACUGGAACUGAGACACGGUCCAGACUCCUACGGGAGGCAGCAGUAGGGAAUCUUCCGCAAUGGGCGAAAGCCUGACGGAGCAACGCCGCGUGAGUGAUGAAGGGUUUCGGCUCGUAAAACUCUGUUAUUAGGGAAGAACAAACGUGUAAGUAACUGUGCACGUCUUGACGGUACCUAAUCAGAAAGCCACGGCUAACUACGUG